This 557-nucleotide ribosomal RNA is filed under the name uncultured bacterium. RNAcentral's name for it is "bacterial SSU rRNA". It matches the Rfam family "Bacterial small subunit ribosomal RNA", at positions 102 to 694 of the family's 1533-position model. The record is from RNAcentral.
ACGGGUGAGUAACGCGUGGGAAUCUACCUUGUGGUACGGAACAACCAAGGGAAACUUUGGCUAAUACCGUAUGAGCCCUUCGGGGGAAAGAUUUAUCGCCAUAAGAUGAGCCCGCGUAGGAUUAGCUAGUUGGUGAGGUAAUGGCUCACCAAGGCGACGAUCCUUAGCUGGUCUGAGAGGAUGACCAGCCACACUGGGACUGAGACACGGCCCAGACUCCUACGGGAGGCAGCAGUGGGGAAUAUUGGACAAUGGGCGCAAGCCUGAUCCAGCCAUGCCGCGUGUGCGAUGAAGGCCUUAGGGUUGUAAAGCACUUUCGCCGAUGAAGAUAAUGACUGUAGUCGGAGAAGAAGCCCCGGCUAACUUCGUGCCAGCAGCCGCGGUAAUACGAAGGGGGCUAGCGUUGUUCGGAAUUACUGGGCGUAAAGCGUACGUAGGCGGAUUGUUAAGUGAGGGGUGAAAUCCCGAGGCUCAACCUCGGAACUGCCUUUCAUACUGGCAAUCUUGAGUCCGGGAGAGGUGAGUGGAACUCCUAGUGUAGAGGUGAAAUUCGUAGA